CAGGAAGGUGCUUGUUAAGAAAAGCUUGACAGAUCCCAAAAGGACGAGGAAGAGCAGCCCCUGACUAGCCUGUGUUCCAGCAGUCAGGCACCCAGGAGAGCCAGGGGAAAGCAGAGCUCAGCACCUGGCUCAGCCUCAUCCCAAAUGGCUGCCAUGAUGACUACACUGCUACUUGUGCUGGCACUGGGGAUUUCUAUGAUUUGUAUGCAGAAAGCAUAAAAGAUGUCAGUUUCAACUCAGUGGGAAUUCAGCACCUGUAUGGGAAUUCUGAGAAGUUUGUCAGGAUGGCAAAACACUUCCCUUCAGAUCCAGAGAUAAGUGCGAACUUCCAGCAGGAAACUAAAUCCUGACAUUUAGACCUUGGUGUGAAAUCCCUGGGACAGCAACAAGAGGAAAACAUCUUUCUACUUAUCCUACAGCCAAAUCAAAUCAAUGGCUGAUUCAUAAUGCAUCAAGAAGGUGUCCUUUUUUCCCAAUGUAUUCCCAGCCACAGUCCAUUGCAGCUAAGGCCUUGGAGGUGUUCAAAGAAGUUGCCAAGCCCUCUGAAAAAUCCAGCAGCCCAGGAAGAGCUGCAAAGCACUGACCAUUUUGACAGUUACACGAGUUUUAGAACGAGAUGUGGGCUGCUUUGAAAAUGUGGCCUUUAACUGAAAGUGCUGAGCUCUGGCAAUACAGUUUUGACCUGUUGUGAAACAUGGACUGUCAGUACUUAACCACUGUCAGCUGCCAGCAGUUACAGGUUGUUAACAAGGCUCUUAUGGUCAAAGGAAGAAAAUGUCCUGACUAAGCCAGGGUGGCAGGCCCAGAGAACAAGAGAGCCCCGAAAGAAAAGAAGGUGAGCUCAUGAAACCACACAGAGUGCUUCAGUAACACCCCCACGGCGCACAGCAAGGAUCAGCAGAGAUCUGGGUCAUUUCUGCUGGUGAGGGACACAACCUUCAAAGAAGAGCUCAAAUUGUAUCACAGGUUACCAGAUCAUACCCACAGAGACCUGUUGGCUCCACAGGGAUAGGUGAGCAUCUCGUGAAGUUCAAAAAUCAUCACUGCAUUCAGGAAGAGGGUCAAAGUCUGAACAGGCAAUGGGGACUGCAGCUCUCACUUCUGGAGGAAGCCAGGAUAGAGAUCCUACAGCAAGAUGUGCUCGUUGUGCUCACAGACUGACACUUCAGCCCUGAAAUCUUCUCAUGCCAAAUAAAUCUACCACACUACAUGAGCUGAAUAGCA
Molecule: long non-coding RNA, 1224 nt
Filed under: Coturnix japonica (Japanese quail)
Lineage: Eukaryota; Metazoa; Chordata; Aves; Galliformes; Phasianidae
Description: lncRNA (ENSCJPG00005007305.1)
Source: RNAcentral